UAUAGUAUAUUAAUAUUAUACGCUCUGUAAUUAAUUUCAAAAACUGUUAUUUAUGUAUUAUAUAGACGCCUCCAGUAAUCAAUAUCAAUUAUUUUUAUGGUGGGGCGGGGCAGCCCAAGCAGACCAUACCACCGGCCCCCGCCAACAGUAAGCAUGAUAAGGUAAUUCUGUUUUUCACCUUUUAAUUGACGGAUUUUAUUUAUGUAGAUAACGAUGAAAAAAAAACAAAUAAAAAAGGACCACAAAAAAAACAGAAAAAACAGAAAAAACCGAGUAUGCAUAAUGAGUAUUUUUUUAUGUUUGUAAUUUCACUAACCUAAUUUUUUUAAUUUAUUUAAGAGUGCCACAUCUGUAAAAAAUUGCACUGGGGUGGAUGUAGGCUGAAGCCCCAGGCAAGAAAUGUCCAAAAAAAAAGUUAGUACCUAUAUACUUAUUAAAUAGUUGAUGUUUAUUGAAUUAAUGAAUAAUUAAUAUAUGUAUUUUGUUGUUUAACCAGAAUGUAAUAUAUGCCACGUUCCCCACAACGGAAAGUGUUGGUGGAGGCCCGAAAACAAGAAGACUACAACUCAAGAUUUGAGAGAAAUAAUUAGUCGGCGGCGCCAAAACAGAAGAGAUGAAGAUAUGCAUAUGCAGGUGGAUACCACUACCACCCCAACAGUGGAC
This is a long non-coding RNA of Acyrthosiphon pisum (pea aphid), 663 nucleotides long. RefSeq lists it as uncharacterized. The record is from RefSeq and is a predicted model, not a curated record. The transcript is spliced from 3 exons. Lineage: Eukaryota; Metazoa; Arthropoda; Insecta; Hemiptera; Aphididae.